UGAGAUUCAGUAUCUAGUUCCCAAUUAAGC
Molecule: non-coding RNA, 30 nt
Filed under: Rattus norvegicus (Norway rat)
Lineage: Eukaryota; Metazoa; Chordata; Mammalia; Rodentia; Muridae
Source: RNAcentral